This 549-nucleotide ribosomal RNA is filed under the name uncultured bacterium. Its description in RNAcentral is "bacterial SSU rRNA". It matches the Rfam family "Bacterial small subunit ribosomal RNA", at positions 356 to 896 of the family's 1533-position model. The record is from RNAcentral.
GGGGAAUAUUGGACAAUGGGCGCAAGCCUGAUCCAGCCAUGCCGCGUGUGUGAAGAAGGCCUUUUGGUUGUAAAGCACUUUAAGCGAGGAGGAGGCUACUUGGAUUAAUACUCUAGGAUAGUGGACGUUACUCGCAGAAUAAGCACCGGCUAACUCUGUGCCAGCAGCCGCGGUAAUACAGAGGGUGCGAGCGUUAAUCGGAUUUACUGGGCGUAAAGCGUGCGUAGGCGGCUUUUUAAGUCGGAUGUGAAAUCCCUGAGCUUAACUUAGGAAUUGCAUUCGAUACUGGGAAGCUAGAGUAUGGGAGAGGAUGGUAGAAUUCCAGGUGUAGCGGUGAAAUGCGUAGAGAUCUGGAGGAAUACCGAUGGCGAAGGCAGCCAUCUGGCCUAAUACUGACGCUGAGGUACGAAAGCAUGGGGAGCAAACAGGAUUAGAUACCCUGGUAGUCCAUGCCGUAAACGAUGUCUACUAGCCGUUGGGGCCUUUGAGGCUUUAGUGGCGCAGCUAACGCGAUAAGUAGACCGCCUGGGGAGUACGGUCGCAAGACUA